GGAUUCGCCGCCACAUCCCGGUACUCUUUUCUCCGCCGCCCUUGAAAGAGAACGUCCUAUGUGAAAGAUAGCACUAGUUGGUCCCUGGAGACUGCUGUCUGGUUGGAGAGUCACCUGCUCCCCUCCAUGGAGACAGACCAGACUGAUCAACAGUCGGCUGGAGGGAGUUGGUGGUUAUGGUUACAGAAGUCAUCAAAAGAGAGCGCCUGGGGAAUAGGAGUGGAGCUAGGCACUGCAGGUCUUGGAUUCACCUCUACAUCACCAGAGGAACAGAGGAGGAGUUGGUGGUUGACCCAUCAGAGGAGUUUUAUUAUGGAUGGCUACAGGUCAUGACCUUUCCCAUCUUCUACAUCUGGGUUCUCUUCAUCUGCAUAUGCUUACAUCAAAUGUAGGAGUGAAGCUAGGCACUGCAGGUCCUGGAUUAACCUCUACAUCACCAGAGGAACAGAGGAGGAGUUGGUGGUUGACCCAUCAGAGGAGUUUUAUUAUGGAUGGCUACAGGUUUCCUGGAGCACGCUUCCUGUUGAGGAAACGGCAGGAGAAGUUCCACCCCCAUUCAUUUCCAAUGAGGGCAUGCAGAGAAACGUGAGGGGGAUUGUGGGAAGCUGAGCGGUAAAGACCUCUGCUAGAGGAACGGUCGAAAAGGAUCAGUUUUAUUCAAAUUUCAAGCAAAGCGAAGCAUUGGAGAAAAGUGUGGUCAAGAGGAGGUACCGCCCCUGGUCAAAACCCACUGUCAGAGUAGGAGGUUCUGGUCUUUAUUCAGUCCAUGGCCACGUUUGGCUGGAGGUGCACGGGAAGCAGUUGACACUCACCAGGGGUUGACCCUCACCAGGGGUUGACCCUCACCAGGGGUUGAUCCUCACCAGGGGUUGACCCUCACCAGGGGUUGACCCUCACCAGAGGUUGACCCUCACCAGGGGUUGACCCUCACCAGGGGUUGAUCCUCACCAGGGGUUGACCCUCACCAGGGGUUGAUCC
This is a long non-coding RNA of Oncorhynchus tshawytscha (Chinook salmon), 978 nucleotides long. The record is from Ensembl. NCBI's taxonomy places the organism in Eukaryota, Metazoa, Chordata, Actinopteri, Salmoniformes, Salmonidae.